GUACCUGUAUGGAUAUUGGGGACUGAGUAAUGUUGAUCCACGUCGAUACAAGGUGUCUUCUUCACUCUUGGUUGUCCUAUUCUUCAAGUCUUCUUUCUCUUCGCGUGCUUCGGUCGGCCGGCGGGGGUACCUGCGAUUGCACUCCGACGCUCAAGUCAGCGAUGGUGCUCAAGUGUGAAUUCUCUGAUCGUAUGGAAAACGUACCUUUUCCCCCUUUUCAGAAGUCCCUUUAGUAGGUUGACCUGGGCCUUGGCCAUGUGGGCCAAUCAGUUGAUGGUUAGAGACAUGCUUAGUGGUCUUUGGGUCGUGCCUGGUGGUUUCCUGAAAACCAGGGGAGUGGUCUAGAGAACGUGUUUUUACUUCGUCAAUGGUUGUCAUAACUGCUCUUUUCUACACGUGUAACCACGUUCUGGAUUAAAUUAGAUUUAAUCGACAUAAACCAUUCGGCCGUCCGGCUAGAGGUCAUGGAAGGACGAAGAGUCGUAUAAGACGCA
Molecule: long non-coding RNA, 494 nt
Filed under: Phaseolus vulgaris (common bean)
Lineage: Eukaryota; Viridiplantae; Streptophyta; Magnoliopsida; Fabales; Fabaceae
Description: long non-coding RNA (PVUL_LNC001810)
Source: RNAcentral